RNAcentral lists this ribosomal RNA (578 nucleotides) under uncultured Bacillota bacterium. Its description in RNAcentral is "bacterial SSU rRNA". It matches the Rfam family "Bacterial small subunit ribosomal RNA", at positions 347 to 917 of the family's 1533-position model. Lineage: Bacteria; Bacillati; Bacillota. The record is from RNAcentral.
GGCAGCAGUAGGGAAUCUUCCACGAUGGACGAAAGUUUGAUGGAGCAACGCCGCGUGAGUGAAGAAGGGUUUCGGCUCGUAAAGCUCUGUUGGUAGUGAAGAAAGAUAGAGGUAGUAACUGGCCUUUAUUUGACGGUAAUUACUUAGAAAGUCACGGCUAACUACGUGCCAGCAGCCGCGGUAAUACGUAGGUGGCAAGCGUUGUCCGGAUUUAUUGGGCGUAAAGCGAGUGCAGGCGGUUCAAUAAGUCUGAAGUGGAAGCCUUCGGCUCAACCGGAGAAUUGCAUCAGAAACUGUUGAACUUGAGUGCAGAAGAGGAGAGUGGAACUCCAUGUGUAGCGGUGGAAUGCGUAGAUAUAUGGAAGAACACCAGUGGCGAAGGCGGCUCUCUGGUCUGCAACUGACGCUGAGGCUCGAAAGCAUGGGUAGCGAACAGGAUUAGAUACCUGGUAGUCCAUGCCGUAAACGAUGAGUGCUAAGUGUUGGGAGGUUUCCGCCUCUCAGUGCUGCAGCUAACGCAUUAAGCACUCCGCCUGGGGAGUACGACCGCAAGGUUGCAAAUCAAAGGAAUCGACGGA